Molecule: ribosomal RNA, 1410 nt
Filed under: Harringtonia aguacate
Lineage: Eukaryota; Fungi; Ascomycota; Sordariomycetes; Ophiostomatales; Ophiostomataceae
Description: Raffaelea aguacate partial large subunit ribosomal RNA
Rfam family: Eukaryotic large subunit ribosomal RNA
Source: RNAcentral
ACCCGCUGAACUUAAGCAUAUCAAUAAGCGGAGGAAAAGAAACCAACAGGGAUUGCCCCAGUAACGGCGAGUGAAGCGGCAACAGCUCAAAUUUGAAAUCUGGCCCCCCGCGGGCCCGAGUUGUACUUUGGAGAGGACGCUUCUGGCGCGGCGCCGGCCGAGUGCCCUGGAACGGGCCGCCGGAGAGGGUGAGAGCCCCGUACGGCCGGCCGCCUAGCCUCUGCGAAGCUCCUUCGACGAGUCGAGUAGUUUGGGAAUGCUGCUCAAAAUGGGAGGUAAAUUUCUUCUAAAGCUAAAUACCGGCCAGAGACCGAUAGCGCACAAGUAGAGUGAUCGAAAGAUGAAAAGCACUUUGAAAAGAGGGUUAAACAGUACGUGAAAUUGCUGAAAGGGAAGCGCCUGUGGCCAGACUUGCGCCCCGCGGACCACCCGGCGCCCGCGCCGGGGCACGCCGCGGGGCGCAGGCCAGCAUCGGCUCUCCCAGGGGGACAAAGGCCGCGGGAACGUAGCGCCCUCGGGCGUGUUACAGCCCGCGGCGCCAUGCCCCUGGGGGGGCCGAGGACCGCGCUCCGGCAAGGAUGCUGGCGUAAUGGCCACCGGCGACCCGUCUUGAAACACGGACCAAGGAGUCAAGCAGUGGGGCGAGUGUCUGGGUGGCAAACCCGCACGCGGAAUGAAAGUGAACGCAGGUGGGAGCUUCGGCGCACCACCGACCGAUCCUGAUGUCUUCGGAUGGAUUUGAGUAGGAGCCUUGCCGCUUGGACCCGAAAGAUGGUGAACUAUGCCUGUAUAGGGUGAAGCCAGAGGAAACUCUGGUGGAGGCUCGCAGCGGUUCUGACGUGCAAAUCGAUCGUCAAAUAUGGGCAUGGGGGCGAAAGACUAAUCGAACCAUCUAGUAGCUGGUUACCGCCGAAGUUUCCCUCAGGAUAGCAGUGUUGUUCUUCAGUUUUAUGAGGUAAAGCGAAUGAUUAGGGACUCGGGGGCGCCUAUUAGCCUUCAUCCAUUCUCAAACUUUAAAUAUGUAAGAAGCCCUUGUUGCUCCGGUGAACGUGGGCCUUCGAAUGCACCAACACUAGUGGGCCAUUUUUGGUAAGCAGAACUGGCGAUGCGGGAUGAACCGAACGCGGGGUUAAGGUGCCAGAGUGGACGCUCAUCAGACACCACAAAAGGCGUUAGUACAUCUUGACAGCAGGACGGUGGCCAUGGAAGUCGGAAUCCGCUAAGGACUGUGUAACAACUCACCUGCCGAAUGUACUAGCCCUGAAAAUGGAUGGCGCUCAAGCGUCCCACCCAUACCCCGCCCUCCGGGCAGAAGCCAGGCCCGGAGGAGUAGGCGGCCGUGGGGGUCCGUGACGAAGCCCAGGGCGCGAGCCCGGGUCGAACGGCCCCCAGUGCAGAUCUUGGUGGUAG